This 101-nucleotide small nuclear RNA is filed under the name Urocitellus parryii (Arctic ground squirrel). The record is from RNAcentral. Lineage: Eukaryota; Metazoa; Chordata; Mammalia; Rodentia; Sciuridae.
GUGCUGGUUUUGGAAGCCCAUGUACUAAAUGAAAUGAAACAGAGAUCAGCAUGAUCACUGUGCAAGGACUACAUGCAAAUUCGUGAAUGUUUCAUAUUUUA